UACGUAGGGUGCAAGCGUUAUCCGGAAUCACUGGGCGUAAAGCGUCUGUAGGUGGUCAAAUAAGUCAACUGUUAAAUCUUGAGGCUCAACCUCAAAACCGCAGUCGAAACUAUUAGACUAGAGUAUAGUAGGGGUAAAGGGAAUUUCCAGUGGAGCGGUGAAAUGCGUAGAGAUUGGAAAGAACACCGAUGGCGAAGGCACUUUACUGGGCUAUUACUAACACUCAGAGACGAAAGCUAGGGUAGCAAAUGGG
RNAcentral lists this ribosomal RNA (253 nucleotides) under uncultured bacterium. RNAcentral's name for it is "partial 16S ribosomal RNA". It matches the Rfam family "Bacterial small subunit ribosomal RNA", at positions 524 to 776 of the family's 1533-position model. The record is from RNAcentral.